This 274-nucleotide ribosomal RNA is filed under the name uncultured bacterium. RNAcentral describes it as "partial 16S ribosomal RNA". It matches the Rfam family "Archaeal small subunit ribosomal RNA", at positions 473 to 747 of the family's 1478-position model. The record is from RNAcentral.
AAACCAGCACCUCAAGUGGUCAGGAGGAUUAUUGGGCCUAAAGCAUCCGUAGCCUGUUCUAUAAGUUUCCGGUUAAAUCCAUUAGCUCAACUAAUGGGCUGCCGAAAAUACUGUAGAACUAGGGAGUGGGAGAGGUAGACGGUAUUCGGUAGGAAGGGGUAAAAUCCUUUGAUCUAUUGAGGACCACCUGUGGCGAAGGCGGUCUACCAGAACACGUUCGACGGUGAGGGAUGAAAGCGUGGGGAGCAAACAGGAUUAGAAACCCCAGUAGUCC